Molecule: ribosomal RNA, 1534 nt
Filed under: uncultured bacterium
Lineage: Bacteria
Description: bacterial SSU rRNA
Rfam family: Bacterial small subunit ribosomal RNA
Source: RNAcentral
GACGAACGCUGGCGGCGUGCUUAACACAUGCAAGUCGAACGCCCCUGGAGGUUGGAAGUUAGAGGUUAGAAGUUAGAUUAAGAAGGAAUUCGCCGAAGACGAAUUCUCACACAAUCCAACAUCUAAUUUCCAACUUCCAACCUCUAAGGGGAGUGGCGGACGGGUGAGUAACGCGUGGGCAAUCUGCCCGUAAGAGGGGGAUAACAUCGGGAAACCGGUGCUAAUACCGCAUAAUAUCUGUUUACCGCAUGGUAGACAGAUUAAAGGAGCAAUCCGCUUACGGAUGAGCCCGCGUCUGAUUAGCUAGUUGGUAGGGUAACGGCCUACCAAGGCGACGAUCAGUAGCCGGCCUGAGAGGGUGACCGGCCACACUGGAACUGAAACACGGUCCAGACUCCUACGGGAGGCAGCAGUGGGGAAUCUUCCGCAAUGGGCGAAAGCCUGACGGAGCAACGCCGCGUGAGCGAAGAAGGCCUUCGGGUUGUAAAGCUCUGUCAUCAGGGAAGAAGAGAGUGACGGUACCUGAGGAGGAAGCCACGGCUACUACGUGCCAGCAGCCGCGGUAAACGUAGGUCCGAGCGUUGUCCGGAUUCACUGGGUGUAAGGGCGCGUAGGUGGUUGUCUGUGUCUCAUGUGAAAACUCAGGGCUCAACUCUGAGAUUGCGUAGGAAACUAGGCAGCUAGAGGACGGUAGAGGGGAGUGGAAUUCCCGGUGUAGCGGUAAAAUGCGUAGAUAUCGGGAGGAACACCGGUGGCGAAGGCGGCUCUCUGGGCCGAUCCUGACGCUGAGGCGCGAAAGCUAGGGGAGCGAACCGGAUUAGAUACCCGGGUAGUCCUAGCCGUAAACGAUGGGUGCUAGGUGUUGGGGGGUAAAGACCCUUCAGUGCCGAAGCCAACGCGAUAAGCAUCCCACCUGGGGAGUACGGCCGCAAGGUUGAAACUCAAAGGAAUUGGCGGGGGUCCGCACAAGCGGCGGAGCAUGUGGUUUAAUUCGAUGCUGCCCGAAGAACCUUAACCAGGGUUUGACAUGCUGGUGGUAGGAACCUGAAAGGGGGACGACCCGACCGUAAGGGAGGGAGCCAGCACAGGUGUUGCAUGGCUGUCGUCAGCUCGUGCCGUGAGGUGUCGGCCUAAGUGCCGUAACGAGCGCAACCCUCAUCCCUAAUUGCUCCUGACAGGUAAAAGGGUCAGAGCACAAUAGGGAGACCGCUGGCGAAGAGCCAGAGGAAGGGGAGGAUGACGUCAAGUCAGCAUGGCCUUUAUGCCCUGGGCUACACACAUGCUACAAUGCAGGGUACAACGGGAAGCGAAGCCGCGAGGUGGAGCAAAUCCCGAAAGGCCCUGCUCAGUUCGGAUCGCACGCUGCAAUUCGCGUGCGUGAAGUCGGAGUCGCUAGUAACCGUGGAUCAGCAAAGCCGCGGUGAAUACGUUCUCGGGCCUUGCACACACCGCCCGUCAAGCCACCCGAGUCGGGUUCACCAGAAGGCCGGUAACCGAAGAGGGCCGGACGACGGUGUGCCUGGUAAGGAGGGCU